CCUGUUUGCCCUUGAAAAGGAAGCUGUUUUAGCUUGGUCAAAAUAUUUACUGGUCACUGGAAAAUCAGAGAACACUGAUGUUGUUAAGACCUUUUUUCAGGACUACGUCUCACAGCAGUGGAGACUCUUCAAUAAAAAUGGAUGUGGCCCUCUAAAGGCUGGGGAUCUUCAGAACAACCACUGUGAGAAGCUCUACCACAGCACAGCCCAGCAGCAGGUAAAAAUCAAAUGUGCUGGAUUAUACAAGCCCUUCCCCGAGACCGUGGUGUGCUCUGGAGGCAAGUGGAGUGCCCUACCUGUGUGCUACGCCGAGCAGGUAAAAGGGCGAGUUGAGUGCAAAUCUGAAGGUGGAGCCACCGUCUGCAGGGCCUCAUGUUCGACUGGCUGGGGCUCCACCACACACCCUGAGCCAGCGGAGUACAAAUGCUCAAAGCCACCCUGUCCUUCCUUCAUACCUCACAAGUGUAACAACUGCACACAAAACAGCGUUUGUGAGUACAAUGAGGUCUGCUCUGGCGUCCUCGGCACAUGUCGUGAUGCAUGCCUGGUGAAUCCCUGUGGAGUGAACACCAAGUGCCACUCCUAUAAUCACAACAGGAUCUGCAACUGUGUGAGCCCGUGGAAAGGAGACCCAUACCAGGGAUGCAAGAGUCAGGACCUCAAGUGGGUUCGGCCCAAUAAAGUGCCCAUCUCUUUUCACCAUAUUUUUCAAUUCAAAAGUGAAACCUCUGAGGAAGGAAUUGUUCUAAAAAAAGUUUGAGGAGAAAUGGCUAUGUAGGGAAGCUUUUCAACACACGGAGUGGCUUUCUGUGCCAUUUUCCACUUGGCUCAUACACCCGGGAUGGAAGUUUCUAUGCUCUGGUUACACAACCAUGUUUGUGAAGACUCUUCACCAUGAUUCACGGUUCAGUGCUUAAGUUUCUCUAGUUCCUUUGAUUGGGUGGAGGUGCUGUAUUCAUCUUUCAAAAGACAGACUGAACCUAAAUGCACAGACGGAAAAUAGUAGCCAACUCUCACAAAACAUUUAUGCAACUGGUAUAAACACAUGCUUUUUGUUACUAAUUUUAUUCGGUUACUUUUCAGCGGGAUAUUUUUAGGAUUAAAAAAGUUCUAAAUUGUAUUAGCCAUUAACAUUUGAUGAAAGUGAGCAAGUGGAGUAUAUUUCCACCUGCAGGAUAUGUUAUGUAAGUUUGCAGAAACAUUCUGUGUUCUCUGCACAGUCAAUACUAUGAACUCAAUGCCAUAAUGUCCUUUGCUGCAAUAAUGAUGUAACCAAUGAAAUAUAAAUGCUUCAAUAAACAUUACUAAAUUCACUUUUAUUGUCUUUCUUCAGUGUUACAGCUCAAAAUAAUGGUUGUGGCUGAAAU
RNAcentral lists this long non-coding RNA (1367 nucleotides) under Sinocyclocheilus grahami. RNAcentral's name for it is "lncRNA (ENSSGRG00000016267.1)". Lineage: Eukaryota; Metazoa; Chordata; Actinopteri; Cypriniformes; Cyprinidae. The record is from RNAcentral.